RNAcentral lists this ribosomal RNA (478 nucleotides) under uncultured bacterium. Its description in RNAcentral is "partial 16S ribosomal RNA". It matches the Rfam family "Bacterial small subunit ribosomal RNA", at positions 28 to 523 of the family's 1533-position model. The record is from RNAcentral.
GACGAACGCUGGCGGCGUGCUUAACACAUGCAAGUCGAACGGUAAGGCCCUUCGGGGUACACGAGUGGCGAACGGGUGAGUAACACGUGGGUGAUCUGCCCUGCACUUCGGGAUAAGCCUGGGAAACUGGGUCUAAUACCGGAUAGGACCCUGGGAUGCAUGUCCUGGGGUGGAAAGCUUUUGCGGUGUGGGAUGGGCCCGCGGCCUAUCAGCUUGUUGGUGGGGUGAUGGCCUACCAAGGCGACGACGGGUAGCCGGCCUGAGAGGGUGACCGGGCACACUGGGGAUGAGAUACGGCCCGGACUCCUACGGGGGGCAGGAGGGGGGAAUAUUGCACAGUGGGCGCAAGCCUGGUCCAGCGACGCCGCGUGAGGGAUGACGGCCUUCGGGUUGUAAACCUCUUUCAGCACCGACGAAGCGCAAGUGACGGUAGGUGCAGAAGAAGGACCGGCCAACUACGUGCCAGCCGCCGCCGUAA